CACUGACGCUCAGGCGCGAAAGCCUGGGUAGCAAACAGGAUUAGAUACCCUGCUAGUCCACGCCAUAAACGAUGGGUACUAGGUGUCGGGGGUAUCGACCCUUCCGGUGCCGCAGUUAACGCACUAAGUACCCCGCCUGGGGAUUAUGGUCGCAAGGCUGAAACUCAAAGGAAUUGACGGGGCCCCGCACAAGCGGUGGAGCAUGUGGUUUAAUUCGACGCAACGCGAAGAACCUUACCUGGGCUUGACAUGCUUGGGACAGCGCUGGAAACAGCGUCUCUCCUUCGGGAGCCCUUGCACAGGUGCUGCAUGGCUGUCGCCAGCUCGUGUCGUGAGAUGUUGGGUUAAGUCCCGCAACGAGCGCAACCCUCGUUACUAGUUGCCAUCAGUUCGGCUGGGCACUCUAGUGAGACUGCCGGUGAUAAGCCGGAGGAAGGUGAGGAUGAUGUCAAGUCAUCAUGGCCCUUACGCCCAGGGCUACACACGUGCUACAAUGGUCGGCACAAAGGGUCGCUAAGCCGCGAGGUGGAGCUAAUCCCAAAAAGCCGGCCUCAGUUCGGAUUGGAGUCUGCAACCCGACUCCAUGAAGGCGGAAUCGCUAGUAAUCGCGGAUCAGCAUGCCGCGGUGAAUAUGUUCCCGGGGCUUGUACACACCGCCCGUCAUAUCACCCGAGUCGGGGAUACCCGAAGUCCGUGACCCAACCAUUUG
Molecule: ribosomal RNA, 709 nt
Filed under: uncultured organism
Description: bacterial SSU rRNA
Rfam family: Bacterial small subunit ribosomal RNA
Source: RNAcentral